CGCCUUGCCAGCCCGCUACAGAAACUUAAAGGAAUUGACGGGGGCCCGCACAAGCGGAGGAGCAUGUGGUUUAAUUCGAUGAUACGCGAGGAACCUUACCUGGGCUCGAACGUAAGAUGACUGUAGGUGAAAGCUUACAUCUCUUCGGAGCAUUUUACGAGGUGCUGCAUGGUUGUCGUCAGCUCGUGCCGUGAGGUGUCGGGUUAAGUCCCAUAACGAGCGCAACCCCUACCUUUAGUUGCCAUCAGGUUAAGCUGGGGACUCUAAAGGAACUGCCUACGCAAGUAGUGAGGAAGGCGGGGAUGACGUCAAAUCAGCACGGCCCUUACGUCCAGGGCUACACACGUGCUACAAUGGCCGAUACAGAGGGCAGCUACCUGGUGACAGGAUGCAAAUCUCCAAAGUCGGUCUCAGUUCGGAUCGGAGUCUGCAACCCGACUCCGUGAAGUUGGAUUCGCUAGUAAUCGCGCAUCAGCCAUGGCGCGGUGAAUACGUUCCCGGGCCUU
RNAcentral lists this ribosomal RNA (506 nucleotides) under uncultured Sphingobacteriales bacterium. RNAcentral describes it as "bacterial SSU rRNA". It matches the Rfam family "Bacterial small subunit ribosomal RNA", at positions 903 to 1382 of the family's 1533-position model. The record is from RNAcentral. Lineage: Bacteria; Pseudomonadati; Bacteroidota; Sphingobacteriia; Sphingobacteriales.